Non-coding RNA from Odocoileus virginianus texanus, 326 nucleotides. NCBI's taxonomy places the organism in Eukaryota, Metazoa, Chordata, Mammalia, Artiodactyla, Cervidae. The record is from RefSeq and is a predicted model, not a curated record.
AUUUCUUAGUAUAGAAGGUAAACACUUUUUUAUGGGGUAAAAUGACUAGUCUUAAUUUGCCUUAGAAACACAAGAUGAAAGGUUCUGAAAGCAGGCUGGGAUGCAGACAACAUGGGGUGUGGCCUUGAAAAUGGCAGAGCCACCAGUGGAAUUAUUGUUACCUGAAUGAACAUUUCAGAGGGAUCUACCCACCAAUCAAGAACAUCAAUUUAGAAAUUAUGUGAAUCACAAAUGAGUUUUUAUUGCAUUCAAGUCAUUCUGUUUCGAAUUUUCUUAUGUUUGUGACCUUAACUAAUAUACUAUGUGAUAAAUAUUGAAUUACUCUU